This 425-nucleotide ribosomal RNA is filed under the name uncultured bacterium. RNAcentral's name for it is "bacterial SSU rRNA". It matches the Rfam family "Bacterial small subunit ribosomal RNA", at positions 33 to 502 of the family's 1533-position model. The record is from RNAcentral.
UACGCUGGCGGCACGCCUAACACAUGCAAGUCGAACGAAGUAGCAAUACUUAGUGGCAGACGGGUGAGUAACAUGUGGGUAUCUACCCUUUGGCCUGGAAUAACACGAGGAAACUUGUGCUAAUACCGGAUAAGUCUUUACGGAGAAAGCUUUAUGCACCAUUGGAUGAGCCCGCACUUGAUUAGUUUGUUGGUAGGGUAAUGGCCUACCAAGACUAUGAUCAAUAGCUGAUUUGAGAGGAUGAUCAGCCACAUUGGGACUGAGACACGGCCCAAACUCCUACGGGAGGCAGCAGUGGGGAAUCUUGCACAAUGGAGGAAACUCUGAUGCAGCGAUGCCGCGUGAGUGAAGAAGGCCUUUGGGUUGUAAAGCUCUUUCGUCGGGGAAGAAAAUGACUGUACCCGAAUAAGAAGGUCCGGCUAACU